Molecule: unclassified non-coding RNA, 214 nt
Filed under: fungal sp.
Lineage: Eukaryota; Fungi
Description: partial internal transcribed spacer region
Rfam family: Eukaryotic small subunit ribosomal RNA (bases 1-46)
Source: RNAcentral
AAGUCGUAACAAGGUAACCGUAGGUGAACCUGCGGUUGGAUCAUUAAAAAGUUGAAAGGACGGUUGACCAAAAGUUAGCCUGACUUGACACCUGUGAACUUGUAUUAGUCUCUUCUGGGAUAUUAAGCCCAGAAUUUCAAACUUUGUAUUUUAACUAGUCUUGAUUUAAAUAUUAAAUAUUUAACAACUUUUGACAACGGAUCUCUUGGUUCUC